Molecule: non-coding RNA, 28 nt
Organism: Delftia acidovorans SPH-1
Lineage: Bacteria; Pseudomonadati; Pseudomonadota; Betaproteobacteria; Burkholderiales; Comamonadaceae
Source: Rfam
GUUCGCUGCCGCAUAGGCAGCUCAGAAA